GCCAGCAGCCAUAUCACCCUGCAACUCACAACUGGCAACCCACUGAAGCUAAGCAGGCAUGAGCCUGGUCAGUACCUGGAUGGAAGACCUCCUGGGAAAAACUAAGGUUGCUGCUGGAA
Molecule: ribosomal RNA, 119 nt
Organism: Lepisosteus oculatus (spotted gar)
Lineage: Eukaryota; Metazoa; Chordata; Actinopteri; Semionotiformes; Lepisosteidae
Source: Ensembl